RNAcentral lists this small nuclear RNA (99 nucleotides) under Saimiri boliviensis boliviensis (Bolivian squirrel monkey). Lineage: Eukaryota; Metazoa; Chordata; Mammalia; Primates; Cebidae. The record is from RNAcentral.
GUCCUUUGGCAGCACGUAUACUAAAAUUGGAAUGACAGACGAUUAGCAUGGCCCCUGCACAGGGAUGACAAGCAAAUUCGUGAAGCAUUCCAUUUUAAA